UGCUUUAAUUUCCUGGCUAAGGGAGUGCAUUACAUGCGCAGUGGCUGGGAACAAAUGCAAUCAAAUCCGGCAAGCACAGAGAAGGGCUGAACUGCUCGUCCCUUAUUGCUCAGCUGGGAGAACUACUGACUGACUGGUGAGAGUCCCUUUGGGGCCUCCCUCAGCUACAAAAGGCUGCUUUCUAAGGAUAUGUUUUUCACAGAAUAGACUCCAACCAUGACUAAUCCAUGAGGAAGCAUAGAGGCCUGGCCAUAUUUGGCCCAACUUGGGACAACUCUAAAGGACCACUGUGGCUCUGAGAGCCAACAUAUUGUUAGCUGAGACUGUCAUCAGGUCUGCAUAACCACUUGACUUCUCUGUCUGCCCAAUUGUGCUUCAUUGUUUUCUUCCACUGCUGAACUCUGACUCAGUUUGCUUCCAAGGAAAUUUAAUCUGUGACAAGUGAUUUGAUAUUGCUUUUUCUGUAAAGGGUUUCUUCUGGCUGCUGUCAGGAGAGAAGGCAAGAUAGAAGCAGGGAGAUUUGCUAAGAGGCUACUGCCAUGAUCCAGAUGGAAGAGGACAGAUGCUUAGGCUAGAACGGCAGCAGAGAAGAAGAAAGCAAGUAGGUAUAUUCUAGAUACAGAUGUUUGACUUAGGAUGGAGUUACACCCCAAUAAACUAAUCAUAAAUUGAAAUAUUUGUGUCAGAAGUACAUAUAAUGCACCUUACCUACUGAAAAGCAUAGCUUGGUAACACAGCACCUGUAGAGCACCAGUUGUUUACCCUUGUGAUGGUGUGGCUGACUGGAGGCUUAAGCUCACUCACUGUCUUUGCCCACCAUCAUGAGACAGUACCAUACUAAAUAUUGCUAGCCUAGGAAAAGAUAAAAAUUCAAAAUAUGUCUUCCACUGGAUGAGUAUCACUUUCAUACCAUUGUAAAAUCAAAAAUCAUAAUCAAACCAUCAUAAUCAGGACUGUCUAGAUAUAAGGAUUUGUUAGUAGAUCAAUGUAAGGAGAUUUGGAUGAUUCCAAAGUUUUUGGCCUGAGAAACUGAAUAACAAACUUGUUAUUUUCCAAGAAAGAGAUAAUGCAGAAAUGAAAAGCAGUUUCAGAUCUGCUAGGCUUUGCAUGCCUAUUAUUCAGCCACUUGUAGAUGUCAAGUGGAUAGCUGCACACUGUGAAUCUGAAUUGCAAAUAAAAAAGGCAUCUUCUGAGCUAGGCACAGUGACUCAUGCCUAUAAUCCCAGCAGUUUGGGAGGCAGAAGCAGGAGGAUUGCAAGUUCAAAGCCAGUCUUCGCAACUCAGUUAGGCCCUCAGCAACUUAGUGAGAUCCUGUCUCAAAAGUAAAAUAAUAAAAUGGGCUGGGGAUGUGGCUCAGUGGUUAAGUGCCCCUGAGUUCAAUCCCUGGUACCAAAAAAGAAAAGUAUCCUCUGGAGGAAUAAUCAGCUCAAAGACAUUACUCAAAGCUGUGGAACUGAAUGAGAUGAUGUGCUACGGAGGGUUGCUAGCAAAGCCCCACCGAUGACUCAUUCAGGGGUUGAGAUGAGGCAAUGAGGAGGAUUCAGCCAAGAAGACAAAGAAGGAGAGGUCAGCCAAGAAGAUAAAGAAGGAGAAGAAAAGGAGAAAGAUAGUUCCAAGAGUACAAGAAUGUGUUUCAAAGCAGAUGGUAUGAUCAACUGCGUCACACGCUACUGAGUGUUGAAUAAGGUGAAGAUUGAACACUAAUGCUAGAUUUAAAAGCCCUCUCAAUAAAAACAGAUGGUAUGUCCCUGAAGUAUA
This is a non-coding RNA of Ictidomys tridecemlineatus (thirteen-lined ground squirrel), 1758 nucleotides long. Lineage: Eukaryota; Metazoa; Chordata; Mammalia; Rodentia; Sciuridae. The record is from RefSeq and is a predicted model, not a curated record.